RNAcentral lists this ribosomal RNA (253 nucleotides) under uncultured bacterium. Its description in RNAcentral is "partial 16S ribosomal RNA". It matches the Rfam family "Bacterial small subunit ribosomal RNA", at positions 524 to 776 of the family's 1533-position model. The record is from RNAcentral.
UACAGAGGGUGCAAGCGUUGCUCGGAUUUACUGGGCGUAAAGCGUACGCAGACGGCUUGGUAGGUCGGAUGUGAAAGCCCCGGGCUCAACCCGGGAAUUGCAUCCGAAACCACCUCGCUCGAGUGUGGGAGAGGGAAGCGGAAUUCCUGGUGUAGAGGUGAAAUUCGUAGAUAUCAGGAGGAACACCGGCGGCGAAGGCGGCUUCCUGGCCCAUUACUGACGCUCAGGUACGAAAGCGUGGGGAGCAAACAGG